AAGAGUUUGAUCCUGGCUCAGGACGAACGUUGGCGGCGUGCUUAACACAUGCAAGUCGAGCGGUUGAGAGGUGGGAGUUGAGAAGUUAGAAGUGGGAGAAAGUUCUCACCUCUUCUGCCUGUAAGACAGGGAUAACGCCGGGAAACCGGUGCUAAUACCGGAUAACCUCUUUGAAUCGCAUGAUAUGAAGAGAAAAGGUGGCCUCUUUACAAUGCUACCACUUACAGAUGAAUCCGCGUCCCAUUAGCCAGUUGGUGGGGUAAUGGCCUACCAAAGCGACGAUGGGUAGCCGGCCUGAGAGGGUGACCGGCCACACUGGAACUGAGAUACGGUCCAGACUCCUACGGGAGGCAGCAGUGGGGAAUCUUCCGCAAUGGGCGAAAGCCUGACGGAGCAACGCCGCGUGAGCGAAGAAGGUUUUCGGAUUGUAAAGCUCUGUGAUAUUGGACGAACGAUUUCCCGUAAAUAAUGGGAAAGAAUGACGGUACCUACGUGCCAGCAGCCGCGGUAAUACGUAGGUGGCAAACGUUGUCCGGAAUUACUGGGCGUAAAGGGCGAGUAGGUGGUUUAUUAAGUCAGAAGUGAAAACUCCAGGCUCAACUUGGAGACUGCUUCUGAAACUGGUAGACUUGAGUGCAAGAGAGGGAAGUGGAAUUCCUAGUGUAGCGGUGAAAUGCGUAGAUAUUAGGAGGAACACCGGUGGCGAAGGCGGCUAUCUGGACCGAUACUGACGCUGAGACGCGAAAGCGUGGGGAGCAAACAGGAUUAGAUACCCUGGUAGUCCACGCCGUAAACGAUGGGUACUAGGUGUUGCGGGUAUUGACCCCUGCAGUGCCGAAGAACGCAUUAAGCACUCCGCCUGGGGAGUACGGCCGCAAGGUUGAAACUCAAAGGAAUUGACGGGGGCCCGCACAAGCAGCGGAGCAUGUGGUUUAAUUCGAAGCAACGCGAAGAACCUUACCAGAACUUGACAUCGUCUAUCGUCUGAAUUACUCUUAAUCGAGGAAGCCUUUCGGGGCAGAUAGACAGGUGGUGCAUGGUUGUCGUCAGCUCGUGUCGUGAGAUGUUGGGUUAAGUCCCGCAACGAGCGCAACCCUUAUUGCUAGUUGCCAUCAUUAAGUUUGGGCACUCUAGUGAGACUGCCGGAGACAAUUCGGAGGAAGGUGGGGAUGACGUCAAAUCAUCAUGCCCCUUAUGUUCUGGGCUACACACGUGCUACAAUGGCCGGUACAGACGGAAGCGAAGCCGCGAGGUGGAGCAAACCCGAGAAAGCUGGUCUCAGUUCGGAUUGCAGGCUGCAACUCGCCUGCAUGAAGUCGGAAUCGCUAGUAAUCGCGCAUCAGCCAUGGCGCGGUGAAUACGUUCCAGGGNNNNNNNNNNNNNNNNNNNNNNNCCAUGGAAGUUGGGGGGACCCGAAGCCAGUGAUCCUAACCGUAAGGAGGGAGCCGUCGAAGGUGAGAUCAAUGACUGGGGUGAAGUCGUAACAAGGUAACC
RNAcentral lists this ribosomal RNA (1494 nucleotides) under uncultured bacterium. RNAcentral's name for it is "16S ribosomal RNA". It matches the Rfam family "Bacterial small subunit ribosomal RNA". The record is from RNAcentral.